GAUGUCCUUUUAAAAGGUUGAGGAAACCACUGGUAGCCCAUUGACUCGCAAGUGUAGGUAGUGUGCUACAUGAGAGGCAAGACUUAGCAAACACCACAAGAGUCUCUGGCCCAAUGAGUGGAGUUUGAUAGUAAUUUUAGCUACAAGU
This 148-nucleotide small nucleolar RNA is filed under the name Myotis davidii. The record is from RNAcentral. Lineage: Eukaryota; Metazoa; Chordata; Mammalia; Chiroptera; Vespertilionidae.